CAGUAGCCACGGUAAUGCGGAGGGUGCAAGCGUUAUCCGGAUUCACUGGGUUUAAAGGGUGCGUAGGCGGGCAGGUAAGUCAGUGGUGAGAUCUCCGGGCUUAACCCGGAAACUGCCGUUGAUACUAUCUGUCUUGAAUAUAGUGGAGGUGAGCGGAAUAUGUCAUGUAGCGGUGAAAUGCUUAGAUAUGACAUAGAACACCGAUUGCGAAGGCAGCUCGCUACACUAUUAUUGACGCUGAGGCACGAAAGCGUGGGGAUCAAACAGGAUUAGAUACCCCGGUAGUCCCUGUCUCUUAUAU
RNAcentral lists this ribosomal RNA (301 nucleotides) under uncultured bacterium. RNAcentral describes it as "partial 16S ribosomal RNA". It matches the Rfam family "Bacterial small subunit ribosomal RNA", at positions 509 to 809 of the family's 1533-position model. The record is from RNAcentral.